UACGAGGGGAGCAAGCGUUGUUCGGAUUUACUGGGCGUAAAGGGCGCGUAGGCGGCGUGACUAGUCACUUGUGAAAUCUCCGGGCUUAACUCGGAACGGUCAAGUGAUACUGUCGUGCUAGAGUACAGAAGGGGCAACUGGAAUUCUCGGUGUAGCGGUGAAAUGCGUAGAUAUCGGAAGGAACACCGGUGGCGAAAGCGGCGCGCUGGACCUCUUCUGACGCUGAGGCGCGAAAGCCAGGGGAGCAAACGGG
RNAcentral lists this ribosomal RNA (253 nucleotides) under uncultured bacterium. Its description in RNAcentral is "partial 16S ribosomal RNA". It matches the Rfam family "Bacterial small subunit ribosomal RNA", at positions 524 to 776 of the family's 1533-position model. The record is from RNAcentral.